RNAcentral lists this ribosomal RNA (508 nucleotides) under uncultured Erysipelothrix sp. RNAcentral's name for it is "bacterial SSU rRNA". It matches the Rfam family "Bacterial small subunit ribosomal RNA", at positions 917 to 1431 of the family's 1533-position model. The record is from RNAcentral. Lineage: Bacteria; Bacillati; Bacillota; Erysipelotrichia; Erysipelotrichales; Erysipelotrichaceae.
GGACCCGCACAAGCGGUGGAGUAUGUGGUUUAAUUCGAAGCAACGCGAAGAACCUUACCAAGUCUUGACAUACCGGGCAAGGCCUAAGAGAUUAGGAGAUAUACGCACGGAUACAGGUGGUGCAUGGUUGUCGUCAGCUCGUGUCGUGAGAUGUUGGGUUAAGUCCCGCAACGAGCGCAACCCCUGUCUUUAGUUACCAUCAUUCAGUUGGGGACUCUAGAGAGACUGCCGGUGAUAAACCGGAGGAAGGUGGGGAUGACGUCAAAUCAUCAUGCCCCUUAUGACUUGGGCAACACACGUACUACAAUGGCAAUUACAAAGGGAAGCGAAGUAGUGAUAUGGAGCGAAACCCAGAAAGGUUGUCUCAGUUCGGAUUGAAGUCUGCAACUCGACUUCAUGAAGUUGGAAUCGCUAGUAAUCGCGGAUCAGCAUGCCGCGGUGAAUACGUUCUCGGGUCUUGUACACACCGCCCGUCAAACCACGAAAGUUGGUAAUACCCGAAGCCGGU